AUCCAGUUGAUGAGUCCCAAAUAGGACGAAAUGCGCGUUAUCCUGGAA
Molecule: non-coding RNA, 48 nt
Filed under: Trichobilharzia regenti
Lineage: Eukaryota; Metazoa; Platyhelminthes; Trematoda; Strigeidida; Schistosomatidae
Source: RNAcentral